This 1421-nucleotide unclassified non-coding RNA is filed under the name Hevea brasiliensis (rubber tree). Lineage: Eukaryota; Viridiplantae; Streptophyta; Magnoliopsida; Malpighiales; Euphorbiaceae. The record is from RNAcentral.
UAUGGGUAUGUAAAUCCUCCUCAAUAAGUUAAAGCUUGACAUUUUAUUGUUACACUUGCUGUUCACAAAUUGCUAAUUACUUAUUGAGGAGGAUUUACAUACCCAUAGACAGCAAAGAAGGCUUGAAUAAAGGUGAGAAUAAGGAGAAUGAGAGCGGUUAAAGCUGACAUGAAUAUCCAAGGGCUGUCAAAGUAAGUGUACUUGAAUUUUGCCCAUCUAAUAUGCCAUUUGUCUCGAUGAUAUUCAUUCACAUCCUCGAACACCUUUGUUAGAUAAUUAUUUGAAAGUUUGAAAAUAAUAUCUUUGACAGCAUCAUUGAAGAAUUUAACAACUUCUUUGUCAGUUCCGAAGAAAUUCUGAAUAAUUCUUCGGUCUCGCAAAUACCCUGCAUCCGUAGGUGAGUUGAUGAGGCAACCCAUGAAAAUAACAUAGGAUGUAAAGUGGUAUGGGCAACGCUCAUGCUGAUAACAUUGUUCCAAUGCCACACAAUUCAGCAAGAAAGGGCCAAUGGAGUCAUCUAAUGCCAAUUGUGGGAUUAUGAGCACUCCAUGGUCACGUCUAAAUUUAAUGUCCAAGAAGGUCUCAGCUGUUCCAUGUUUCUCGAAAUUGAUACCAGCUUCACGGAGUUUCUCAACAGGUUGGAUCAAUUGACGUAAAUCUGAAUCCCCGUCUUUGGGCGAAGGGGUGAAACUGGAGCGAGAAGGGAUGAAACUGGAGCGAAACAAAUCUAGUAAAUGUUUCCCAUCCAGAUUCUCAUGAUUACAUAGGAUUUCAUCAGGCCUCUGUAUCAUCCGAUUAAAGAAUCCUAGGGCGAGUUUUGUCAAGGAGGUAUCUUCUGCUAAAGACAUCUUAGACUUUUCGAACAAACUCUGAAGAACAAAGAAAGGAAUUUGAUUCUCUAGCCUGAGAAGAUCCCUCAUGAUAGAAUACAAUAUCCAUGGCUGAUUGAAUAUAGGAUCAUUGGGAUCAGGCUUGACUUUAUUUCCAUCUUUGAGGAAGAGCUCAAUAAUGAAGCAUCCAUCAAGUACCAGCAUUUCAAUGAAGUCAUGGUCGCUAUAUUUAUCAGUACUCCCUGAAUAGCAUUUCCUCAUCUCCUUUUGCACAUUUGCUAUGGCUUCCCAGAAGUCACCGUAGCAAACACCGUAACACUCUGUUCGAGCAAGAAUAGCAUUAAGAUAUCCACAUUUGUGUUGUUGAAUCAUUUGGAGGUGUUCUCCUCCAUGGUGGUAGGGGCCAAUGGACACUACUUGAGGUUGAAAGGCGUUUUGGUGAAUUUCCGUAAGUUUUUGAGGCACUCGAAAGAUGGAACAAGAGCUCGCUUCCGAACCGGGCACUGGUUGAUUGAAGCGACAGCCAAAAUCUGCUGACAAGGGUACUACAUAUUGCGUCCAAGGCUCAGUAGCAACAGAUGGACCUCGAUA